AUCCAUACACCUGCCAGCGGUCAUUUCGGCAGCUUCUGUGUCUUAUUUUGCCUGUGGAGUGCGCUGACUCGGUUCCCAGUUAAUCAGACUAACACCGUGGAAAGAAACUGUCCUUCCCGUCCCACAGAGGCAGGUGUGGUGCUGGAGGACGCCGCCCGCCCGCGGAGUCCGAUGGCGGCGGCCGCUCUGAGGAAUGCGGCCCAGAGCAUGGUGACCAUUGAGGACGUGGCUGUGUACUUCUCCUGGGAGGAAUGGGAGCUCCUUGAUGAGGCUCAGAGACACAUGUACCUCAGUGUGAUGCUGGACAACUUUGUACUUGUAACCUCACUGGGUUACUGGUGCCAUGUGGAUAGUGUGCAGGCUCCUUCUGAGCCACACGUUUCUGUGGGAAGACUGCCACACCUCUGGACUCCAGCACCAGAUCCACCUACCCAGAAUGCUUAUCUCUGUGAAACGUCCGAUCCUGCCAUGGAAGACAUGCUAUGUCCGGCUGAGCACAAAGGAAGAUGUGAUCAGAAAUUGUAUACAUGCGAGAAACAAUUCUCUUUCAGUGCAAGCCUUUAUCAACAUCAGGAGCACAAUGGGGAGAGAUUCCACAACCAGGACUAUAGCAUCCAUGCAUCGGGGAAGCCCUACAUCUGUGGGGAGGCUGAGAACAACUUCCCAGACAACUUGGGCUUCCUCCAGCACCAGGCCACUCCUGAGGAGGUAAAGCCACACAGCAUUGCUGAAUCCGAGGAGCUCUUUCAUGGUGUAAAAAGUCACAAAUGUGAUGAGUGUGGGAAAGCCUUCCGCCGCAGACGCACACUUGUUCAGCACCAGAAAAUCCACACUGGAGAAGGGCUGUAUGAGUGCAGUGAGUGUGGGAAAACCUUCACCUAUAAGCACACGUUUAUUCAGCAUAAGACAGUCCACACUGGGGAGAAGCCUUUUGAGUGCAGUGACUGUAGUAAGGCCUUCCGAUUCAAAUAUAAACUUGUUCAGCACCAGCGUGUUCACACUGGAGAAAGGCCUUAUGAGUGUGCUGAAUGUGGAAGAGCUUUCGGGUGCAAAUCCAAGCUUGUUCGACAUCAGAGAAUUCACACUGGAGCAAAACCUUACAAAUGUGCGGAAUGCGGGAAGUCCUUCAGACACAGCUCUAGCCUUGUCCAACACCGGCGAGUUCACACUGGGGAAAAGCCGUAUGAGUGUAGGGAAUGUGGGAAAACCUUCAGACAAAGAUCCAGUCUCAUCCAACACCAGAAAGUUCACACAGGAGUAAAGCCUUAUGAGUGUAGUGAGUGUGGAAAAUGCUUUCGCCAAAGCUUCAGCCUUAUUCUACAUCAGAGAAUUCACACUGGAGAAAGGCCUUAUGAAUGCAGUGAGUGUGGAAAGUCUUUUAGCAAAAACUGUAACCUCAUUCAACAUCAGAAACUUCACACCAGAUAGAGGUGUCUUGACCACAGCCAGCGCAGAUAGCACUGGUUCCCUGCCAGAGACCUCACGACCCAGGACUUUGUGAAGUUGGUGGAUAUGAAAAAGCCUUGUUCCACACAUAGGGUCCACCUAAGAUGAGAGUCUCAGACCCUCAGAGAAUGUGCCGUUUCAUUGUUCAGCUUAACAGUCUAGCCGUGUGAUGGAGUCUUCUCCCUGAAGUUGAACCUCACCCAUCUGAGCAUCCACAGUAGGGAGAUGCCUCAUUGGUUCCAGGUAGCUCUCCAGACUGGUGUUCACAUUUUUUGUCUGGCCUUCCUGGGUUGUUGUCUCCCAGAAGUACAUCUGCUUUGUCUCCACGCUGAAGCUGCAUAGUUGUGUAAACUCAAAGGAAUCAGCCCAGCAGGCCACGUACCAGUAAUCUCUGUCUUGUUUGUGCGGUGCUCAGAAGCUCACUAGAACGCCUGAUGCCAUGACCAAACAAAUGGACACUGCAAAACAUGCUUUAACAUGAUUUAAGCCUGUAAAGUUGAUUUCUGUGUAUGUGUGUUUUGUUUUUUAUUUUGUUUGUGGUACUGGGUUUGAAUUUGGGGCCUUGCAUUUGCUAAGUAGGUGCUCUGCUAUUGAUUGAAGUAUGCCUCUUUCCUUUUUCUGCUUUUUUGCCCAGACUGGCACCUGGACCACAAUUUUGGCAUGGCAUACUUCCUGCAGUAGCUGAGAAGAUAGGCCUGUACCACACCACUAUUCUUAGCUUCUUCUCUUGAGAUGGACCCUCACCAGCUCAGACUGGCCCACAAACACAGCUUCCCA
Perognathus longimembris pacificus (Pacific pocket mouse) is the source of this 2223-nucleotide RNA transcript. It is a transcript of the gene named zinc finger protein 211-like, with no coding region annotated. NCBI's taxonomy places the organism in Eukaryota, Metazoa, Chordata, Mammalia, Rodentia, Heteromyidae. The transcript is spliced from 4 exons. The record is from RefSeq and is a predicted model, not a curated record.